Molecule: ribosomal RNA, 915 nt
Filed under: Clostridioides difficile
Lineage: Bacteria; Bacillati; Bacillota; Clostridia; Peptostreptococcales; Peptostreptococcaceae
Description: bacterial LSU rRNA
Rfam family: Bacterial large subunit ribosomal RNA
Source: RNAcentral
GGAGGUCCGAACCCACGAGCGUUGAAAAGCUCGGGGAUGACUUGUGGGUAGCGGUGAAAUUCCAAUCGAGCCCGGAGAUAGCUGGUUCUCCCCGAAAUAGCUUUAGGGCUAGCCUCAAGGUGAGAGAUACGGAGGUAGAGCACUGAAUGUCCUAGGGGGUAUUGCACCUACCGAAGACUAUCAAACUCCGAAUGCCGUCAUCUUAUACUUGGGAGUCAGACUGUGGGUGAUAAGAUUCAUAGUCGAAAGGGCAACAGCCCAGAUCGUCAGCUAAGGUCCCUAAAUGUAAGUUAAGUGGUAAAGGAUGUGGGAUUGCACAGACAACCAGGAUGUUGGCUUAGAAGCAGCCACUCAUUCAAAGAGUGCGUAAUAGCUCACUGGUCGAGUGAUCCUGCGCCGAAGAUUUCCGGGGCUAAAACUUACUACCGAAGCUACGGCAUCAGUAAUGAUGGGUAGGGGAGCUUCCCAUACGGGUUGAAGCAUGACCGUAAGGACAUGUGGACAGUAUGGGAGUGAGAAUGUUGGCAUGAGUAGCGAGAUGUGGGUGAGAAUCCCACAGGCCGUAAACCCAAGGUUUCCAGGGGAAGGUUCGUCCGCCCUGGGGUAGUCGGGACCUAAGCUGAGGCCGAAAGGCGUAGGUGAUGGACAACAGGUUGAUAUUCCUGUACUACCGAUAACCGUUUGAGAGAAGGGAUGACACAGUAGGAUAAGCUAAGCACACUGUUGGUUAUGUGUGCCCAAGCAUUGAGGCAGUCAAAGUAGGCAAAUCCGCUUUGAUAAUGCUGGGAUGUGAUGGGGAGCGAAAUUUAGUAGCGAAGUAGCUGAUUUCACACUGUCAAGAAAAGUCUCUAUCGAGGUUAAAGGUACCCGUACCGCAAACCGACACAGGUGGGUGAGGAGAGUAUCCUAAGGCCA